This 530-nucleotide ribosomal RNA is filed under the name Petricola divergens. RNAcentral's name for it is "partial large subunit ribosomal RNA". It matches the Rfam family "Bacterial large subunit ribosomal RNA", at positions 1833 to 2620 of the family's 2925-position model. The record is from RNAcentral. Lineage: Eukaryota; Metazoa; Mollusca; Bivalvia; Venerida; Petricolidae.
AUUGGUCAAGGUAUGAAUGUAGGACCUGCCCGGUGACUAGUUAAAACUAGUUUAACGGCUGCGAAUGAGUACUAAGGUAGCGUAGUGGUUUGCCCUUUAAUUGGGGGAUAGUAUGAAUGGAUUGUCAUAGGGAGACUGUCUUUGCUUCAGUUUAAGUGAAGUUUUUAUUUGAGUGAGAAAACUUAGUUUUUUGUAAAAGAAGAGAAGACCCUGUUGAACUAGAUUAGAGCUACUAAGGUUGAAUUUAAAGUUAGUAAGGUUAAUUGAAAGAGUUUAGUUUUAGUCUGCUUGAAGUUUUGUUGGGAAAACAAGAAGAAGUAAAGGAACUCUUCGGUUAUAAGAGGACCCUGUAAGAUAGCAAUGUGCAGUAGUUACCACAGGGAUAACAGCGCCAACUUCCCCGAGAGGUCUUAUUGGAGGGGAGAAGUGCGACCUCGAUGUUGAAUUAGGGUUACUUUAUGGUAGUAGGAGCUAUGAAAAGUAAGACUGUUCGUCUUUUAAUUCCCUACAUGAUCUGAGUUCAGACCGGA